AGUGAACGCUGGCGGUAGGCCUAACACAUGCAAGUCGAACGGCAGCACAGUAAGAGCUUGCUCUUACGGGUGGCGAGUGGCGGACGGGUGAGAAAUACAUCGGAAUCUACUUUUUCGUGGGGGAUAACGUAGGGAAACUUACGCUAAUACCGCAUAUGACCUACGGGUGAAAGCAGGGGAUCUUCGGACCUUGCGCGAUUGAAUGAGCCGAUGUCGGAUUAGCUAGUUGGCGGGGUAAAGGGCCACCAAGGCGACGAUCCGUAGCUGGCCUGAGAGGAGGGUCGCCCCCCCCGGAACUGAGACACCGUCCAGACCCCUACGGGGGGGCGCAGUAGGGAAUAUUGGGGCAUGGGGGGAAGCCUGAUGCCGCCCCGCCGCCGGGGGUAAGAAGGGCUUCGGGUUUUUAAACCCUUUUUUUGGGGAAGAAAAAGGGCGGGAUUAAUCCCCCGCGUUUUGACGGUACCCAAAAAAAAAGCCACGGCUAACUUCGUG
This 492-nucleotide ribosomal RNA is filed under the name uncultured bacterium. Its description in RNAcentral is "partial 16S ribosomal RNA". It matches the Rfam family "Bacterial small subunit ribosomal RNA", at positions 29 to 507 of the family's 1533-position model. The record is from RNAcentral.